GGCCGGAUAAGGCACUCGUGCCGCAUCCGGCAAUCAAUGCCUGAUGCGACGCUGUCGCGUCUUAUCAGGCC
This 71-nucleotide non-coding RNA is filed under the name Escherichia coli. RNAcentral describes it as "Nucleoid-associated noncoding RNA 4 (CssrE)". It matches the Rfam family "Nucleoid-associated noncoding RNA 4 (CssrE)". Rfam says of the family: In E. coli small RNA transcribed from repeated extragenic palindromic element (REP325) called nucleoid-associated ncRNA 4 (nRNA4) collaborates HU protein in condensing the DNA. The secondary structure but not the sequence of the RNA is important in nucleoid condensation. RNAcentral also lists the same sequence under 6 other names. The record is from RNAcentral. Lineage: Bacteria; Pseudomonadati; Pseudomonadota; Gammaproteobacteria; Enterobacterales; Enterobacteriaceae.